AAUUAAUGAACUUGUAAAAGUGUAUAUUUUGAAAAUAUAAAAAAGAGAUUUAAAUUCUCUAUUAAUUU
RNAcentral lists this transfer RNA (68 nucleotides) under Coprophanaeus sp. BMNH679884. Its description in RNAcentral is "tRNA-Ser". Lineage: Eukaryota; Metazoa; Arthropoda; Insecta; Coleoptera; Scarabaeidae. The record is from RNAcentral.